UACAGAGGUCUCAAGCGUUGUUCGGAUUCAUUGGGCGUAAAGGGUGCGUAGGCGGCGCGGUAAGUCGGGUGUGAAAUCUCGGAGCUUAACUCCGAAACUGCAUUCGAGACUGCACUGCUAGAGUAUGGGAGAGGGAAGUGGAAUUUCAGGUGUAGCGGUGAAAUGCGUAGAUAUCUGAAGGAACAUCAGUGGCGAAAGCGACUUCCUGGACCAAUACUGACGCUCAUGUGCGAAAGCGUGGGGAGCAAACAGG
Molecule: ribosomal RNA, 253 nt
Filed under: uncultured bacterium
Lineage: Bacteria
Description: partial 16S ribosomal RNA
Rfam family: Bacterial small subunit ribosomal RNA
Source: RNAcentral